RNAcentral lists this ribosomal RNA (702 nucleotides) under Pseudomonas sp. RNAcentral describes it as "bacterial SSU rRNA". It matches the Rfam family "Bacterial small subunit ribosomal RNA", at positions 95 to 792 of the family's 1533-position model. Lineage: Bacteria; Pseudomonadati; Pseudomonadota; Gammaproteobacteria; Pseudomonadales; Pseudomonadaceae. The record is from RNAcentral.
GCGGCGGACGGGUUGAGUAAUGCCUAGGAAUCUGCCUGGUAGUGGGGGAUAACGUUCGGAAACGGACGCUAAUACCGCAUACGUCCUACGGGAGAAAGCAGGGGACCUUCGGGCCUUGCGCUAUCAGAUGAGCCUAGGUCGGAUUAGCUAGUUGGUGGGGUAAUGGCUCACCAAGGCGACGAUCCGUAACUGGUCUGAGAGGAUGAUCAGUCACACUGGAACUGAGACACGGUCCAGACUCCUACGGGAGGCAGCAGUGGGGAAUAUUGGACAAUGGGCGAAAGCCUGAUCCAGCCAUGCCGCGUGUGUGAAGAAGGUCUUCGGAUUGUAAAGCACUUUAAGUUGGGAGGAAGGGCAGUUACCUAAUACGUGAUUGUUUUGACGUUACCGACAGAAUAAGCACCGGCUAACUCUGUGCCAGCAGCCGCGGUAAUACAGAGGGUGCAAGCGUUAAUCGGAAUUACUGGGCGUAAAGCGCGCGUAGGUGGUUUGUUAAGUUGGAUGUGAAAUCCCCGGGCUCAACCUGGGAACUGCAUUCAAAACUGACUGACUAGAGUAUGGUAGAGGGUGGUGGAAUUUCCUGUGUAGCGGUGAAAUGCGUAGAUAUAGGAAGGAACACCAGUGGCGAAGGCGACCACCUGGACUGAUACUGACACUGAGGUGSGAAAGCGUGGGGAGCAAACAGGAUUAGAUACCCUGGUA